UCUUGACAUCCCAGUGACCGUCCUAGAGAUAGGAUUUUUCUUCGGAACACUGGAGACAGGUGGUGCAUGGUUGUCGUCAGCUCGUGUCGUGAGAUGUUGGGUUAAGUCCCGCAACGAGCGCAACCCCUAUUGUUAGUUGCCAUCAUUCAGUUGGGCACUCUAGCGAGACUGCCGGUAAUAAACCGGAGGAAGGUGGGGAUGACGUCAAAUCAUCAUGCCCCUUAUGACCUGGGCUACACACGUGCUACAAUGGCUGGUACAACGAGUCGCAAGUCGGUGACGACAAGCUAAUCUCUUAAAGCCAGUCUCAGUUCGGAUUGUAGGCUGCAACUCGCCUACAUGAAGUCGGAAUCGCUAGUAAUCGCGGAUCAGCACGCCGCGGUGAAUACGUUCCCGGGCCUUGUACACACCGCCCGUCACACCACGAGAGUUUGUAACACCCGAAGUCGGUGAGGUAACCAUUUGGAGCCAGCCGCCUAAGGUGGGAUAGAUGAUUGGGGUG
RNAcentral lists this ribosomal RNA (502 nucleotides) under uncultured bacterium. RNAcentral describes it as "bacterial SSU rRNA". It matches the Rfam family "Bacterial small subunit ribosomal RNA", at positions 979 to 1482 of the family's 1533-position model. The record is from RNAcentral.